UACGGAGGGUGCAAGCGUUAUCCGGAUUCACUGGGUUUAAAGGGUGUGUAGGCGGGCUAUUAAGUCAGUGGUGAAAUCUCAGGGCUCAACCCUGAAACUGCCAUUGAUACUGGUAGUCUCGAGUCCGGAAGAGGUGAGUGGAAUUCCGAGUGUAGAGGUGAAAUUCGUAGAUAUUCGGAGGAACACCAGUGGCGAAGGCGGCUCACUGGUCCGGUACUGACGCUGAGGUGCGAAAGCGUGGGGAGCAAACAGG
Molecule: ribosomal RNA, 253 nt
Filed under: uncultured bacterium
Lineage: Bacteria
Description: partial 16S ribosomal RNA
Rfam family: Bacterial small subunit ribosomal RNA
Source: RNAcentral